CUCAAGCCACCCCUGUUCUUCAGACAGCUGUCCCAAGUCCUCUUCUGCCCCUUUCCUUAACAGCAAUUUUCCCACGGGAAGCUUCUCAGUCCUUUCCAGAAAUGGACCCCAGCAGCCAGAUCCUGGGACUCUCUACUUCCAGCAUUGAGGAGCAACAAAUAUGAAAAGCUGCCUUCUCAUUCCAUGGGACUUGGGGCCAGCCAGUCUUCCUUGUGUAAGCUGCCUUCUGCUUAGCCAUGCAAAUCACUCAUCAAAUGUUCCGGCAGUCACAGUAUAGCUGGUACUGCCCACCAGCCCAAAUGAGCCCUGUUAUUGAACUGGAACCCCCAGGUGCACAGAGCCUCUGGGGAACCCCCUACCACCACCCCAGGCUCCUGGAAGUGAAACCUUGUACCUGGAGGAUUAAUCUGCCCUUCUUCCUCACCCAUCCC
Erinaceus europaeus (western European hedgehog) is the source of this 431-nucleotide long non-coding RNA. RefSeq lists it as uncharacterized. The record is from RefSeq and is a predicted model, not a curated record. NCBI's taxonomy places the organism in Eukaryota, Metazoa, Chordata, Mammalia, Eulipotyphla, Erinaceidae. The transcript has 3 exons.